This 100-nucleotide transfer RNA is filed under the name Longimycelium tulufanense. RNAcentral describes it as "tRNA-Ala". Lineage: Bacteria; Bacillati; Actinomycetota; Actinomycetes; Pseudonocardiales; Pseudonocardiaceae. The record is from RNAcentral.
GAUGCCGUGGCCGGGGUGACCCAGCGGCUCGGCGGGCUGGCGGCCGGGCUGGUCGGGCUCGGUGUGCUCGCCUACGGCGCCGCGUUCGUGCGGCGUUACC